This 428-nucleotide ribosomal RNA is filed under the name uncultured Acidobacteriota bacterium. Its description in RNAcentral is "bacterial SSU rRNA". It matches the Rfam family "Bacterial small subunit ribosomal RNA", at positions 8 to 432 of the family's 1533-position model. Lineage: Bacteria; Pseudomonadati; Acidobacteriota. The record is from RNAcentral.
AGAGUUUGAUCCUGGCUCAGAAUCAACGCUGGCGGCGUGCCUCAGACAUGCAAGUCGAACGAUUAAAGCUCCCUUCGGGGAGUGCAUAAAGUGGCGCACGGGUGAGUAACACGUAAGUAAUCUACCCUCGGGUGGGGAAUAGCAUCGGGAAACCGAUGCUAAUACCGCAUAAUGCAGCGGCACCGCAAGGUGACAGUUGUUAAAGAUUUAUUGCCUGGGGAGGAGCUUGCGGCAGAUUAGCUUGUUGGUAAGGUAACGGCUUACCAAGGCUACGAUCUGUAUCCGGUCUAAGAGGACGGUCGGACACACUGACACUGAAUAACGGGUCAGACUCCUACGGGAGGCAGCAGUCGGGGAUUUUGGGCAAUGGGGGAAACCCUGACCCCAGCACGCCGCGUGAAGGAUGAAGUAUUUCGGUAUGUAAACUU